UUAUCUUUGCGUCCAGUGGUUAGGACAUCGUCUUUUUAUGUCGAAGACCCGGGUUCAAUUCCCGCAAGGAAAU
RNAcentral lists this transfer RNA (73 nucleotides) under Rhododendron simsii. It matches the Rfam family "tRNA". Rfam says of the family: Transfer RNA (tRNA) molecules are approximately 80 nucleotides in length. Their secondary structure includes four short double-helical elements and three loops (D, anti-codon, and T loops). The record is from Rfam by way of RNAcentral. Lineage: Eukaryota; Viridiplantae; Streptophyta; Magnoliopsida; Ericales; Ericaceae.